UACGUAGGGGGCGAGCGUUAUCCGGAUUCACUGGGUGUAAAGGGAGCGUAGACGGCCAUGCAAGCCAGGGGUGAAAGCCCGGGGCCCAACCCCGGGACUGCCCUUGGAACUGUGCGGCUAGAGUGCGGGAGGGGCAGGCGGAAUUCCUGGUGUAGCGGUGAAAUGCGUAGAUAUAUGGAGGAACACCGGUGGCGAAAGCGGCUCUCUGGCCUGUAACUGACACUGAGGCUCGAAAGCGUGGGGAGCAAACAGG
Molecule: ribosomal RNA, 253 nt
Filed under: uncultured bacterium
Lineage: Bacteria
Description: partial 16S ribosomal RNA
Rfam family: Bacterial small subunit ribosomal RNA
Source: RNAcentral